Molecule: long non-coding RNA, 942 nt
Organism: Saccostrea cuccullata (small rock oyster)
Lineage: Eukaryota; Metazoa; Mollusca; Bivalvia; Ostreida; Ostreidae
Exons: 3
Source: RefSeq, a predicted model, not a curated record
AUUCCUGCGAGGGUGUGUGUGUGUGAGGGACGGUGUCUGUGAUGGGGGAUUUACUACGCUGAGUCUGAUAUUCAUGAUAUUACGAAAUACAUACAUGCAGGAAUCGAGUUACAGCCUUAGAUCACAUAUCAAAAUAAUUACCGGUAGUACUUCCUGGUGGUGUUAGGAAUACACGUGUGCAUUCUUACAGUGAACCACCAAUAAUAAACAGACAUGAGAAAUGAGCUGAAUCAUUAUAAGAGAAAAUGGAACAAAAAUCGAACUUUUAUUCACCGUCCUUUGGGUUGCAGCAAAAGUGAUACAUAUGAACGGUUUGUUUUGUGAUACAGAGUAUGCGGGAUAUUGAGGACGUAUAUUACAAACCUUGGACUUCUCAGUACAUUUACAAAGGAGUCAAUCAAUCCAUGAUAUUACGCAGCAUUAGUUACUGAAAAGAAGUUUGGAACACCCUUGUGACGAAUCUAAAUAUUUUUCUCAACAUUGAAGCAACAAUAGUCUUGGAUAACUUGUUUUAGGGAAAGAAAACUGGCCUGAGUUUGUUUUUUGUCUGGAAAUCUGGAUCUUUUCCUUAGGAAAAAAUUCCACUAGUUUAGAAGUUUUGGUAGAAAAGCUUUCCGUUUUGGAUUUCUUGCAAUCAGGGACACAAGAGUGCAUCAGUGAUUUCUCUCUAUUGGAUACGCACGAAGCUUCUGGAUGCAGCGUUCUCUGUGAUUGGAAAAAUAUAUGACAAGAUGUUCCACUACAUACCAAAGUUUUGAAUGCUGAAGUAACUGUGCAAGGAUACCAUAGGAUCUGUCCCUGCGUGUUUAGUCUAAUAUACCACUAUUCAAUUCAUCCACACGUUCAAAAUGAAGGCGAGGGCAAUACCUGUGCACUCGAAACCAUCUCAUCAAACCUUAUUCACAUCAAUUUCAACGUAGCUAUUUAUGUAAAAACUAUAUG